UACCUACACAAAACCAUCCCCUUAAGUGUACUUUCUACAGACUGGUGAGAUUGUCGCUAAUGCAUUUUCAUCUCACUUGGAUGACACUAGUACAUGUUAACCAGGCUGCAACCCUUUUGUUCCAUUUCAGAUCUCAAUCUCAAAUUUAAAUUUAUGAGUAAAUAAAAUAUUAAUUUUAAUAUUAUCCCCAAUAGUAGUUCCUGACCUUAAGUUAGAGAUUCCUCAUUAAUUUGCAAGGAAUUUAUUAUCUCAGUGAAUUCAUUUUUCCCUCUCUCCUAGUUGCUGAGUAUUUCUUUGACAGGUUUAAAACUGUUCCUUUUACACUAUUUAUUUUCCCUUGCGGCUUACCUUUUCCUCUUUUGCAGCUGUGCUUCUUGAGCCUCUUGCAGCUGCCCCUGUCCCUAUUUCUUGCAACCUCCUCCCUCUAAUUGCUGCAUCCAUAAUAUUUUCCAAAUAGGUUGAACAAUUAUUCUGUCUGGGGUUGAAGACAAGAAGUGAAUGUCAGAAAAUUCUGGAAAUGUUUGACUGGAAUCUGGAAUUAGCCAGUUGCCACCUGCUAGACACUUACAGUACAGCUCGACACAGGCGAUAAUUAGUUCUCAGUGGAGAAAAUGAACUGAAGACAUGACUGGUUUAUUGCCCCAGUACCUGUCUUGUCUUGUUGGGUUGACUAAAUAUUGACCUGCAAGUGCCAGAAAGAAGAGGUAUGAAAUGUCCAUCACUGAGUUCAACUCUCACACUAGUUGUGCAUUCUGAUAGUACUGGGAGAUGGAAGUCAAUUUCUGAAAUGACAGUAUUCUUCAAAAGCAACAGGUUAUUUGUUUUGUUUUGAUGAAAAUAUUUGUAAUUUUAUGGCAUACUAUAAUCCAACAGCCUGCUGUGUGUACAUAUAUAUAUAUAUAAAAUUAUAUAUAAAUAUAUAAUAUAAAUUUUAUUUGAAAACUUGUUGACAGUAGAUUACAGUUGUGUUUAUAUUUUGAAUUUGUCGUAUUGGAUGUUUUAAUAAUUAUUUAAUUUGCUUUCCUAAAAGACAGUUGAAUGAUUCAGUUUAAUGUUCUGGAUUUCCUAUUAAGGUAAAGUUUAUCCAUUUUAAAUACAUACAGAAAUUGCAGCCUUUUAAAAGCCAUCAACACUAGUUCACCGAAACAAAGUUUGAAUUAAGCCAGUUAUUCUAAAUGUGUCAAAAGUAUUUUCUACUUCAGUACGUUUAAUUGCUGCUUUCUUGCUGCUGUUUUGAAAUAACCUGUAAGUUGGAAUAAUAGAUUUAAGACCUCACAUAAUUACAGUCAAGUUUUGGGUUUGUUCCCUAUCCUCAUUAGUCAGAGUAACAUUCUGAACGUCAUCAUUUCAAGUCUUGAAGUUCCCUAAUAACAGUAAGUUUAGCUUUUUAUCUGUUCACCAGGUCAGCAUUGGUGUUUCUAGCAGUACAGAGAGUAAUAAUGAGACAAGAUACAUGAGUAAAACUUGGCAGCAAUUGUGGAAAAGUCUAUACUGCAUUUUGCUGACCCAUUCCAUUACCUCAAGGUGUAGCAACAUUGUCUUGGGGAAAAUUAUAAAGGACAGAUUAAAUUUUGGAGGUGGUUGAUUUCAUCUGUAUUGUAAAUGGUGAGGAAAAUUAUUCAUUCAUUUUAGUUAUGAAAACCAGAAUAGUUGGGUUGGGGAAGCAACUAACUCAAGUUGACCAUUGUUUAUUUUAUGGUGUUACAUAGGCACUCUAAUAUAUGGCAAAUCACAUCUGCAAAAUGCGGCUAAAUUUCUGGUUUUAAUUUUAUUAUUCAGAUAUCCCUCCUUCCAUACAGAUCAAGUGAUUUAUUGCUUUCAGUUUAUAAAUACAUUAGUCAUUAAAAGGUGGUGUUCUCAUUCUUGGCAUCUGUUUGAUUUUGAAGUGAGUUUUUGCCUCCUUAUUUUAUCCUUCACAAAGCCCACCAACAUCCAACUUUGCAGCAUCGCCUACUUAAACCCUUCUGACACUGAGAAACUUAUCCAUGCUUUUAUUACUUCCAGAUUCAACUACUUCAUGCUCUCCUUUUAGACGUCUAUCUUCCAAACAAAAAAUCAUUUUCAAAUUCUGCUGCCUGUGUUAUGUCAUGAGCCAAGUCUCAUUCACCCAUUAUGGCUGUUCUUAAUUAUUUACAUUCAGUUUCAGUCUCUGUUUCCUGUACAGUUGUCUUUCAAAUGAUUUCUAUGAUCUGUUAGGUUUGCAAUCCCUCCUCAUUGUUCUUAGUUUAAAUUCAGUUCAAAACUGAAAAAAAUGGUAUUAUACUACAAAAUCUAAAUUGCAAUUAGUUUGUAGAAAAAUCAGUCUUGGCACCCUGUAUAAAUGUCAAAAAAACUGUUGUUGGGGUAACAAAGGAUAUUGUGAAAUUCCCCUUCUGUUUAAGUUAAUUAUCCGUCCAGUAUUACAAAGGUGCAUGUUGCAGAUGCGGCAUUACUAUGGGCUAGAAAUGUAUCCUUCUGAAACUGCAAGAACAGUAGUUCCUCUUUUCAGAUAGAAAAUGGGAUUUUCCAGUUUUGUAGUUUUUAAGGUUCUCCAUUAACUAGCUGAGAGAUUGAGUGAACUAGAAGCAAAUUUUUAUUAUGGUUCUAUUCUAAAUCUAGCUUCAUUUUUAAGCGUGGGGAAUUGAGGAAGUGAUGUUUUAAUCACACAAUAGCUUGACCUUUAGCUGGGAGACCUUUCGAGUAGGUACAGAUUUCAGCCCAUAUUCUCAAAUCAUUCUAACUUGCAGUUUCUGCAGGUAUGACUAAGCCUGUAUUAUAGUUUAUGUGGCCAAAGUAAAACUCAAUAUCCUGGGCAUCACCGCAGUCUGAAGGAAGCUGUAUGUGAUUCAGAGUUCCAAUUUUAUUUUGUGUAUUAUUAACUUUUAUCGGUUAGAUUCAAACUGGGAGCUGUAUGGUAUUCUGUUCAUCCUGACAAUGGCAGUAACAUUUGUGCUAGAAUCAAAAUUAAAGCAAGAUUCCUAGCCUUUAAUAGAUUCUAAGAUAAUAUCAAUUAAAUAUGCCCUGUAGCUGGGCAUAUGCUCUUAAACGAUAUGAGAUACUUUACAAAAUAGAAUUAUCACCAUUCUAAUCCCACAGCAAGUCACUCUUUGAAUUCUUACGUGAAAGGAAAGCUGCAUUUUAGAAGUAGGAAAAGGUCUUGCCUUGUUCAAAGGGUUACUAUACCUGAAGAGCACAAUAUUUGCACAAUAGGCUGCAGCACGGUAUUUGCACCCCCCGCCCUUAGUAAAUAAUCUUCAAUUUCAUUGGAGUGAUUCCACAGUCCUGUUAAGAUGCAUUGACCACCUGGGGAGUGGAUCAGGUAGAUGAGACAAAACAUCACACUUUAUAAUGUUUCUUCGACUUUUUCUACUACAUAUCUCCCACUUGGUGCCACAUAUUGUUUCAUUCAAGUAAUUAGUACAGGACAGUCUUGAACAUCAAUUGUUUUCAUCACAUCAAAAGUGUUAUUGCAAAAUCAAGAAUCCAGCUCCAAUUAAACCUAUACUUCAGAGUUCAAAGUCAACUUGAUUCAUUUUUCAUGCUGAAUUUCAAGUUAUUGACUGAUAGCACAAUAAUGCCAGAGUUGCUAAAAUGUUCUCUAAAACCAGAACUCUCUCUAACUUUUUAAUCAAUGGGCUAGAUAGUAUGAAUAAUAUGCACUUCACUGCAUCUCAUUUAACCUUCCUUCAUUAGCAUUAUAUCUGAUAAUGCCCAAAAUAAAUGGUGCUGGAGAAUGACUGACUGACUGCAUUGGUCAGCUUUGGACCUAAAAACUGCCAGCAAGUGUCUUUGUAAGAAAAGUAGUAUCAUUUGGCAAAUGGUCCACAUGAGUGACUUAAAGAUAAAAUGUUGCUGUCAUGAGCAACUCUGAGUUUUAAAGCAGAGAAACUAGCAAAGAUUAAAUUUAAUGCCAUUAUGUAUGGAUAUUGUGUCGGUGCUGGGGACUUCUGAGAAACUGAAUACUGCACGUUUGUAUAAAGUUUAUUUUUCAGUUGUUUUGAUGGGAGUCUGGUUGUUGCAUGUCUUGUACUCAGCAUUGCUUGGAUUGCAACAUUGUAAUAAUGCUACAUUUGAGAAAAAAAAUGUUAGUGUUAACUCAGGUCUGGUUGGAUCCUUGCAAAACAAAUAAAACUUGUGUAUACUGAAACCUGAGGUAAUUCCCUCUGUAAUAUAAGAACCGUAUUGAUGUUUUGCUUUGAAUCCCUUGAAUAUUUGUAAGGACUGUACUAUUCAUGAUCGACUAUAUCUGUACAAUUUCACUGUAGCAUCCAUCAAAAUAAGACUAAAGCUCACAGUUUUUUAAUUAAAAAAGGGCAUUAGUACAUUGCUGCUAUGUUUCUCCCAUUUCACUUUCUCUUUGGAUUGCUGUUUCAUGAAUCUAUGUGUGUGAAGAGCACUCACAUAAAAAGUUGGCCAUGUUGAACCUGAUACUGAUGCCCAUGACAACAGUAAUAAAUAAAAUACCAUAUCAAUACCUAUAACAAGGUAUAUGUAUAAGAUAUAAGAACUUAUCUUAUGUCAGUCCUUCCAGAAUAAAACUAUAGUAUCAUCAUGUUUUUCUCCCUGAUCAGUGCUGGCAAUGCAAUAUUGGUUAUAUAAAAAAACCAUCAGUGAAAAGAUGUGAGCAGGGAAGGAGAGAAAAUAAUUUAGUGCUGCUUAGCAGAACCAUUAGUUUGCUUUGACCAAUCCAAAGAAAAUAUAUAAUAUGGUGAGAAACACAAUAGCAUGUUCAAAGCAUUGUAUACAUUGUGUUGUUUUCAUAAAAUAAAAAGUUUAUUUCUGAAAUAAAUGAA
Chiloscyllium plagiosum (whitespotted bambooshark) is the source of this 4772-nucleotide non-coding RNA. The record is from RefSeq and is a predicted model, not a curated record. Lineage: Eukaryota; Metazoa; Chordata; Chondrichthyes; Orectolobiformes; Hemiscylliidae.